This 377-nucleotide ribosomal RNA is filed under the name uncultured bacterium. RNAcentral describes it as "bacterial SSU rRNA". It matches the Rfam family "Bacterial small subunit ribosomal RNA", at positions 524 to 898 of the family's 1533-position model. The record is from RNAcentral.
GACGUAGGGCGCGAGCGUUGUCCGGAUUUAUUGGGCGUAAAGAGCUCGUAGGCGGCUUGUUGCGUCAGCUGUGAAAGCCCAUGGCUUAACUGUGGGUUGGCAGCUGAUACGGGCAGGCUAGAGUUCGGUAGGGGAGACUGGAAUUCCUGGUGUAGCGGUGAAAUGCGCAGAUAUCAGGAGGAACACCGGUGGCGAAGGCGGGUCUCUGGGCCGAUACUGACGCUGAGGAGCGAAAGCGUGGGGAGCGAACAGGAUUAGAUACCCUGGUAGUCCACGCUGUAAACGUUGGGCGCUAGGUGUGGGGGGCCUCUCCGGUUUCCUGUGCCGUAGCUAACGCAUUAAGCGCCCCGCCUGGGGAGUACGGCCGCAAGACUAAA